Molecule: non-coding RNA, 308 nt
Organism: Odocoileus virginianus texanus
Lineage: Eukaryota; Metazoa; Chordata; Mammalia; Artiodactyla; Cervidae
Source: RefSeq, a predicted model, not a curated record
CCCACCGGCCGUGUGGCGGUCAGCCCCGUGGCGCCGUCCUCGUACACGGCCAGCACGCACAGAUCGUAGGUGCGGCCUGACGCCAGGCAUAUGGGAUCUCAGCUCGCAGACCACUGAUCUAACUUGCACCCCUUGCUUGGGAAGGUGAAGUCUUAACCACGGGACCGCUAGAGAAGAGGCUGCCUGCUUCACUUCCGGUGGUGCAGCCUGGGGUAUCAGUAGGUGUUCCUCCAGCCCUCCCUCCACCUCGCUCCCCCACCCGAACUGCCCGCCGCCUGGACCUGCACCUGUAAACGAGGAUGUCGUCG